UCCUGCUCAGAUUGAACGCAGCGGGAUGCCUUACACAUNAAGUCGAACGGCAGCACGGACUUCGGUCUGGUGGCGAGUGGCGAACGGGUGAGUAAUGUAUCGGAACGUGCCCAGUAGCGGGGGAUAACUACGCGAAAGCGUAGCUAAUACCGCAUACGCCCUACGGGGGAAAGCAGGGGAUCGNAAGACCUUGCACUAUUGGAGCGGCCGAUAUCGGAUUAGCUAGUUGGUGGGGUAACGGCUCACCAAGGCGACGAUCCGUAGCUGGUUUGAGAGGACGACCAGCCACACUGGGACUGAGACACGGCCCAGACUCCUACGGGAGGCAGCAGUGGGGAAUUUUGGACAAUGGGGGAAACCCUGAUCCAGCCAUCCCGCGUGUGCGAUGAAGGCCUUCGGGUUGUAAAGCACUUUUGGCAGGAAAGAAACGUCAUGGGUUAAUACCCCGUGAAACUGACGGUACCUGCAGAAUAAGCACCGGCUAACUACGUGCCAGCAGCCGCGGUAAUACGUAGGGUGCAAGCGUUAAUCGGAAUUACUGGGCGUAAAGCGUGCGCAGGCGGUUCGGAAAGAAAGAUGUGAAAUCCCAGAGCUUAACUUUGGAACUGCAUUUUUAACUACCGGGCUAGAGUGUGUCAGAGGGAGGUGGAAUUCCGCGUGUAGCAGUGAAAUGCGUAGAUAUGCGGAGGAACACCGAUGGCGAAGGCAGCCUCCUGGGAUAACACUGACGCUCAUGCACGAAAGCGUGGGACAA
Molecule: ribosomal RNA, 754 nt
Filed under: uncultured bacterium
Lineage: Bacteria
Description: bacterial SSU rRNA
Rfam family: Bacterial small subunit ribosomal RNA
Source: RNAcentral